This 250-nucleotide ribosomal RNA is filed under the name uncultured Campylobacter sp. RNAcentral describes it as "partial 16S ribosomal RNA". It matches the Rfam family "Bacterial small subunit ribosomal RNA", at positions 86 to 339 of the family's 1533-position model. The record is from RNAcentral. Lineage: Bacteria; Pseudomonadati; Campylobacterota; Epsilonproteobacteria; Campylobacterales; Campylobacteraceae.
GGUGGAUUAGUGGCGAACGGGUGAGUAAUGUAUAGCUAAUCUGCCCUACACUAGAGGACAACAGUUGGAAACGACUGCUAAUACUCUAUACUCCUCUUUAACAUAAGUUAGAUAGGGAAAGUUUUUCGGUGUAGGAUGAGGCUAUAUUGUAUCAGCUAGUUGGUGAGGUAAUGGCUCACCAAGGCUAUGACGCAUAACUGGUCUGAGAGGAUGAUCAGUCACACUGGAACUGAGACACGGUCCAGACUCC